AUUGAUCUAUCACAAUCCACAACCGUGAACCAUAUUGUUGGCCUCCAAGCUUCGGCUUGGGCUGGUCUAGCCUGAUUCACUUCGGGCUGGCGCCAGGGCCUCUAUUGCAUCCUUGCGGUGCUCUAGGGGUCGGUCUUUAUCCAACCACAACACCAAACCAAAACCACUAAACAAACUCGAGGAUCAGCUUAGAGCUGAAACUCAUUAACCAAGACAACUCUCAACAACGGAUAUCUUGGCUCUCGCAACGAUGAAGAACGCAGCGAAAUGCGAUACGUAGUGUGAAUUGCAGAAAUACGUGAACCAUCGAAUCUUUGAACGCAAAUUGCGCCCGCGUCUUCGGACAAGGGCAUGUCUGCCUCAGCGUCGGGUUAAUACUCGCAACUCAAUACCCUGUGUGUUGAGCUAAAUUGCGGACCUGGCUUUCCCGGUCGUUCAUUCGGCCGGGUCUGCUGAAGGAAAGAGGUUGACGCAUGGACCCGUUAUGGGCCUCAACUGGGUAGGCAAUUCGUUGCUAAUGCUUUAGCUGUUGGCUUGUGGACUGUGCAAGU
Molecule: ribosomal RNA, 551 nt
Filed under: Chlamydomonas gyrus
Lineage: Eukaryota; Viridiplantae; Chlorophyta; Chlorophyceae; Chlamydomonadales; Chlamydomonadaceae
Description: eukaryotic LSU rRNA
Rfam family: 5.8S ribosomal RNA (bases 216-369)
Source: RNAcentral